RNAcentral lists this ribosomal RNA (429 nucleotides) under Actinomycetes bacterium. Its description in RNAcentral is "Actinobacteria bacterium partial 16S ribosomal RNA". It matches the Rfam family "Bacterial small subunit ribosomal RNA", at positions 355 to 776 of the family's 1533-position model. Lineage: Bacteria; Bacillati; Actinomycetota; Actinomycetes. The record is from RNAcentral.
UAGGGAAUCUUCCGCAAUGGGCGAAAGCCUGACGGAGCAACGCCGCGUGAGUGAUGAAGGUCUUCGGAUCGUAAAACUCUGUUAUUAGGGAAGAACAAAUGUGUAAGUAACUAUGCACGUCUUGACGGUACCUAAUCAGAAAGCCACGGCUAACUACGUGCCAGCAGCCGCGGUAAUACGUAGGUGGCAAGCGUUAUCCGGAAUUAUUGGGCGUAAAGCGCGCGUAGGCGGUUUUUUAAGUCUGAUGUGAAAGCCCACGGCUCAACCGUAGAGGGUCAUUUGCAACUGGAAAACUUGAGUGCAGAAGAGGAAAGUGGAAUUCCAUGUGUAGCGGUGAAAUGCGCAGAGAUAUGGAGGAGCACCAGUGGCGAAGGCGACUUUCUGGUCUGUAACUGACGCUGAUGUGCGAAAGCGUGGGGAUCAAACAGG